UGGGGGAUCGUCCAGCGGAAGGACUGCAGACUCUGGAUCUGCCUACCUAGGUUCGAAUCCUAGUCCCCCAGCCA
Molecule: transfer RNA, 74 nt
Filed under: Syntrophobacteraceae bacterium
Lineage: Bacteria; Pseudomonadati; Thermodesulfobacteriota; Syntrophobacteria; Syntrophobacterales; Syntrophobacteraceae
Description: tRNA-Gln
Rfam family: tRNA
About the family: Transfer RNA (tRNA) molecules are approximately 80 nucleotides in length. Their secondary structure includes four short double-helical elements and three loops (D, anti-codon, and T loops).
Source: RNAcentral